UGUCCAGUAACUCCUAUCCCUACCUCCCCGUGGUGCCGCCUGGGGUACGAGUAACCGAUCUUCCGGGUAUCCAACCCUGGUGGGACCUUGGUCGUAUGCUGACAGGGAAGG
RNAcentral lists this ribozyme (111 nucleotides) under Aedes aegypti (yellow fever mosquito). Its description in RNAcentral is "drz-agam-1 ribozyme". It matches the Rfam family "drz-agam-1 ribozyme". The record is from Rfam by way of RNAcentral. Lineage: Eukaryota; Metazoa; Arthropoda; Insecta; Diptera; Culicidae.